UACGAAGGGGGCAAGCGUUGUUCGGAAUUACUGGGCGUAAAGGGCGCGUAGGCGGCUUAUCAAGUCAGGCGUGAAAUUCCCGGGCUCAACCUGGGGGCUGCGCUUGAUACUGAUUGGCUUGAAUGCGGGAGAGGAUAGUGGAAUUCCCAGUGUAGAGGUGAAAUGCGUAGAUAUCGGGGAGGAACACCAGUGGCGAAGGCGGCUUCCUGGCCUGUUCUUGACGCUGAGGUACGGGAAGCGUAGGGAGCAAACGGG
This 255-nucleotide ribosomal RNA is filed under the name uncultured bacterium. Its description in RNAcentral is "partial 16S ribosomal RNA". It matches the Rfam family "Bacterial small subunit ribosomal RNA", at positions 524 to 776 of the family's 1533-position model. The record is from RNAcentral.